Molecule: long non-coding RNA, 452 nt
Filed under: Homo sapiens (human)
Lineage: Eukaryota; Metazoa; Chordata; Mammalia; Primates; Hominidae
Description: HSALNT0169948
Source: RNAcentral
AGGUAAAAGCGCCGCGGAUGGAGCUCAGCAGGCUCUCAGGAGAUGCUCCGCCUGUCGCAUGAUCAACCCUGGCAACCACAAGCCCUGUUGCUGCAGGGCCGGUGCUCCCAUGGGAAGGAGCUGAACCAGUGUCUUGGGACCCCAGCAUGGACAUACAAAGCUGGUGACACCAGGUCAGAGGAAACAGACACACUCAGCUUCCCAUGAGUGCAUGAAAGAUCCAGGCUGGAGCCUUCUCUGGGAGGAAGUUGGUCUGGGGUGGGGCCGAGGGGGCCGAGUCUCCCAUACCUGAGGGAAGAGACGGUUAGACGUUGCACGUGUGUAUUCUCAUCCCUCCGUCUCCUCUCUCACGAAGGCAUUUUCUUGAGUGCUUCCUCUCAUGAACACUCUUCAGUGGGCCCACUGCACACCAUUCCUCUGCCUCCUUUUUCUCCACCUACUAGCAAGGCUAA